UACAGAGGUGGCAAGCGUUGUUCGGAUUUAUUGGGCGUAAAGGGUCCGUAGGCGGUUUGGAAAGUCGGAUGUGAAAUCCUACAGCUCAAUUGUGGAACUGCAUUCGAAACUUCCAGACUUGAGUGUGAGAGAGGUAAAGGGAAUUCCCGGUGUAAGGGUGAAAUCUGCAGAGAUCGGGAGGAACACCAGUCGCGAAGGCGCUUUACUGGAUCACUACUGACGCUGAGGGACGAAAGCCAGGGGAGCAAACGGG
Molecule: ribosomal RNA, 253 nt
Filed under: uncultured bacterium
Lineage: Bacteria
Description: partial 16S ribosomal RNA
Rfam family: Bacterial small subunit ribosomal RNA
Source: RNAcentral